RNAcentral lists this ribosomal RNA (276 nucleotides) under uncultured Eubacteriales bacterium. RNAcentral's name for it is "uncultured Clostridiales bacterium partial 16S ribosomal RNA". It matches the Rfam family "Bacterial small subunit ribosomal RNA", at positions 66 to 339 of the family's 1533-position model. Lineage: Bacteria; Bacillati; Bacillota; Clostridia; Eubacteriales. The record is from RNAcentral.
AGUUUAACAGGUGCUUGCACCGGUUAAACUUAGUGGCGGACGGGUGAGUAACGCGUGGGUAACCUGCCUCGUACUGGGGGAUAACAGUUGGAAACAGCUGCUAAUACCGCAUAAGCGCACAGAGCUGCAUGGCUCAGAGAGAAAAACUCCGGUGGUACGAGAUGGACCCGCGUCUGAUUAGCUAGUUGGUGAGGUAACGGCCCACCAAAGCGACGAUCAGUAGCCGGCCUGAGAGGGUGAACGGCCACAUUGGGACUGAGACACGGCCCAAACUCC